UACAGAGGGGGCAAGCGUUGUUCGGAAUUACUGGGCGUAAAGGGCGCGUAGGCGGCCUUCUAAGUCAGACGUGAAAUCCCUCGGCUCAACCGGGGAACUGCGUCUGAUACUGGGUGGCUUGAAUCCGGGAGAGGGAUGCGGAAUUCCAGGUGUAGCGGUGAAAUGCGUAGAUAUCUGGAGGAACACCGGUGGCGAAGGCGGCAUCCUGGACCGGCAUUGACGCUGAGGCGCGAAAGCCAGGGGAGCAAACGGG
Molecule: ribosomal RNA, 253 nt
Filed under: uncultured bacterium
Lineage: Bacteria
Description: partial 16S ribosomal RNA
Rfam family: Bacterial small subunit ribosomal RNA
Source: RNAcentral